This 90-nucleotide transfer RNA is filed under the name Lysobacterales bacterium. RNAcentral describes it as "tRNA-Ser". It matches the Rfam family "tRNA". From Rfam's summary of the family: Transfer RNA (tRNA) molecules are approximately 80 nucleotides in length. Their secondary structure includes four short double-helical elements and three loops (D, anti-codon, and T loops). The record is from RNAcentral. Lineage: Bacteria; Pseudomonadati; Pseudomonadota; Gammaproteobacteria; Lysobacterales. RNAcentral also lists the same sequence under 2 other names.
GGAGGGGUGGCAGAGCGGUUGAAUGCAGCGGUCUUGAAAACCGCCGUGGGUGAGAGCCCACCCAGGGUUCGAAUCCCUGCCCCUCCGCCA